RNAcentral lists this ribosomal RNA (392 nucleotides) under uncultured bacterium. RNAcentral's name for it is "partial 16S ribosomal RNA". It matches the Rfam family "Bacterial small subunit ribosomal RNA", at positions 523 to 918 of the family's 1533-position model. The record is from RNAcentral.
AUACGGAGGAUCCGAGCGUUAUCCGGAUUUAUUGGGUUUAAAGGGUGCGCAGGCGGCCAUUUAAGUCAGCGGUUAAAUCGUGGGGCUCAACCCCAUUCUGCCGUUGAUACUGGGUGGCUUGAUUGCGGUCGAGGUUGGCGGAAUUCGUUGUGUAGCGGUGAAAUGCAUAGAUAUGACGAAGAACACCGAUUGCGUAGGCAGCUGACCAGACCGCAAAUGACGCUCAUGCACGAAAGUGCGGGGAUCGAACAGGUUUAGAUACCCUGGUAGUCCGCACAGUAAACGAUGAAUACUUGUUUUCGGCGAUAUAAUGUCGGAGGCAAAGCGAAAGCGAUAAGUAUUCCACCUGGGGAGUACGCCGGCAACGGUGAAACUCAAAGGAAUUGACGGGG